CCUGGGAUUGAACCCACAUCUCUUGGACUGGCAGGCAGGUUCUUUAUCACUGAGCCACUUGGGGAGCCAGUAUGUAUGGGUAUACUGUCCCCUUACUGAUGGAUCCACACGGCUCUUAGAUAGCGUUGCCAGGUAUACAUUUUGCUCUCCUUUUAUUGUCAACCUAAUUAUCCCAUUGUUUUCUGGCCUCUAUCUGUUAUUGGGAAUUUUGCUCUCAGUUCUUUAAGAAGAAUGCCUUUCUUCUCUAGUUUUAAAAAGAGUAUUUUUUCUUUGUUGUUUAUGGAUUUAUAGGAUGAUAUCUAGGCUGGUUAAGUUUUUAUUAAUCUUUCUUGGAACGUGCACACUUUUGGUUUCAGGAUCACAAGUGUCAUAGAUUUGGAGCGUUCUUAGCCCUUCUUCCCUUUCUCUCUGUUCUUUCCUUGGAACUCCAGCCAGCUCUGUGUCUGACCUUCAGUUUCUGUCCUCAAAUCUCCUAGCCUUUCCUCGCUCUGUCUCUGGCUACAGUCAAUGCCAUUCUUUUCAGCCUGCCUCUAUUGUAUGAAUUGUAUUGAAUUGUUCUUAGUUUCAAUUAUUAUCAUUACGUUUUACUCAUAGAUAUUUUGUCUGUUUCUUAUUUAUCACGGGUUAUGACUUUAUCCUUACACAUCUUAGUGGACCUAUUAUAUGUUGCUGGUGUUUCUGACUUCAGAACUUUGCAGGUGGGGCUCAGCCGGCUUUGCUCUGUUUGCCCUUUUCCCAGGGGCCCUGUAGUUUCUCGUCCUGCACUCAUGACCAACAGCCCUUUACAUGUGGGAGCUCUUUGCUCAUUCAGAUAGUGGACUCCUGCCCGGCUCUGUUACCGCUUUUGAAGAGUCUCAGCUGAUGUUUACGAAGAAUGCCUGCUAACAAACAGAGGAGGAGUGAUAGAAAAAAAAACCACCGGGGGAUGCUGACCACCACUGGAUAAACUAGGGGCAGAAACAGGCUAUUCACAGACUCAGAGUCUCAGUCCAGAGGUUACAGAUGCACAAUGUGCCUUCGUGAUGGAGCGAUGUGCAGGCGACACCUGGACCGAGAGCUGUCACCGAACACACGGGGGGUCAUCCUGUCCCCACACCACACGUGGCCACACAUUUAAAGGGCUGCUGCUUGUCGUCUGCAUAGAACUUUCUGUUUCUAUUGGGGGGUUUUCAAGUAAUCUGGUUUUGUCAGUAGAACUGGAAGUUCCUUAAGCUAUCAUUUUUGGCUUAAAGUAAAACUUCUUUAUCCUAUAAAUUGGCAGAAAGGACCUCCCUGGAUAUGUUUUAAACUUUUUAAACUUCUUCUAGAGUCAAAAGAGAAAACCAUUAACCUAAAAAACACAUUCUUUCUUAAAUUAAAAGAUAAUCUACACAUAUUCAGUUUAGUAAAAAGCAAUUGCAGUGGCAUACAGAAAUAGUAGAACUUGAGCAAAUCUUGCUCUGGAAAUCUAGAAAUCCAGAAACGAACUAGUUUGAGCUUCUAUGGCAGGAGCCCCGUCCCGUUCACCUGGGGCCUCCCGUGCUGGUCUGAGGACUCACAUGAUGGGAGUCUGACUUGGUUACGGCUGUUAAACCACUGCUUCAGCCUCCUCCUCUCCUGAGGCCUUGGUCAAUCCGCCCCCGUGGGCUGAGGCUUGGGGGCCCUGGGACACCCUCCUGCUGGCCAUCCUAGCCAACCCCCCACAAAGGGCUCUCCUAACCGUCUGUGUCUGCGACUGCCCAGCCCUUUCUUGGCCUGGGGUGCGGGGCCCCUGCCUGCAGCCAGAAGUAAAGCCAAGAAGGCCUCUGGUCACCCGGCUCUGUGGACUGCCCGCCUGGGCCCUGGAUCUGCUGUCAAUUUGUCAAUCUGUUCUUUUCAAAAUACUUCCAGCGAACAGCGGGGACCUGAGCUUGGGGUAAGACCCUGGGCAAAGAGCUCGGCCCAACUUCCUGGGGAUCUGGGCCCACACUGGCAACACCUCUGUGUUCCCUGGGGACUUGCUUAGAUGGGUGGAGGUGGCGGCCUGGCCCCCUGCAGGGAGGGAUAGAGCUGGAGUUUGCUCAGGGGAUCCCAGGUGAACCCCUCGGAAGGCCUCCUGGGAUCCAGGGACAGAGGCUUUGGGAAAGCCUGGGAUGAGGGGUGGAAAGUAAUUUUCUCCCUCCUAUCUUUGAGAAAAAUGUUAUUUCUGCAUUAGCAGGAGCAAGCGGCCAGUGCAUCCCCCUCCUGGCCACUUGUUCUGUCCUCCCCCACGGGGGCUGAGCUGACGGGAAGGACCCCAGGCAGGUGGCUCACCAACCUUGAUCUCUACUCCUGUGUGCUGGCCCGGGGGGCUCCCUACAGGUGCUUCUUCCACCUGCGUCCUGAAGCCUGGACCUGUGCCUGCGGAGGAGGCUGGGGAGCAGCUCCUCUCUGGUCCUGCUCCUUGGUUCCCUUGAAAUAGGACCUGCUUAAGAGCAUCACCCCCCACUGAAAAGCGUUGGCUAAAAGAUAGAGCCUGGUGGCCAUUCCUGGUCUAGAGUGUACCUAGAAUUCCGAUGGGAUAAAAGUGAAAAGGAACUUCCCUGGUGGUCCAGCGUCUAAGACUGCACACCC
Molecule: long non-coding RNA, 2571 nt
Organism: Odocoileus virginianus texanus
Lineage: Eukaryota; Metazoa; Chordata; Mammalia; Artiodactyla; Cervidae
Source: RefSeq, a predicted model, not a curated record